CCCCUCUCACACACACACACAGCACCCCUUACACACACACACAGCACUCCACACACACUCCGCACCCGUACACACAAACACAUACACUGCACCCCUCAAUGCAGUAUGUGUGUGUGUUUGUGUGUAUGUAUUCCGCAGACUGUGUGUAUGUAUUCAGCAGUCUGUGUGUACUCAGCAUUCUGUAGGUGUGUGUGUAACGGAUCACGUGGCACCCCGACUGGGUACCUCCGUUGAAGGAUG
Pelobates cultripes (western spadefoot toad) is the source of this 240-nucleotide non-coding RNA. Lineage: Eukaryota; Metazoa; Chordata; Amphibia; Anura; Pelobatidae. The record is from the annotation of a GenBank genome assembly.